ACGGGGGGUGCAAGCGUUGUCCGGAAUCAUUGGGCGUAAAGCGUUCGUAGGCGGCAUACCAAGUCUGGUGUUAAAUCCCGGGGCUCAACUCCGGUUCGGCAGUGGAUACUGGUAAGCUAGAAUGUGGGAGAGGUAAAGGGAAUUCCUGGUGUAGCGGUGAAAUGCGUAGAUAUCAGGAGGACCACCGGUGGCGUAGGCGCCUUACUGGACCAUACCUGACGCUGAGGCACGAAAGCCGGGGGAGCAAAUCG
This 251-nucleotide ribosomal RNA is filed under the name uncultured prokaryote. Its description in RNAcentral is "partial 16S rRNA". It matches the Rfam family "Bacterial small subunit ribosomal RNA", at positions 525 to 775 of the family's 1533-position model. The record is from RNAcentral.